Molecule: non-coding RNA, 529 nt
Organism: Megalobrama amblycephala (Wuchang bream)
Lineage: Eukaryota; Metazoa; Chordata; Actinopteri; Cypriniformes; Xenocyprididae
Source: the annotation of a RefSeq genome assembly
AGUAUGAACAUGAAACUGAUCUGCUCUCUGGAAGAGGGAGGGUUUAAAACAUUGAUAUCUGGUGAGAUAUUCUUAAACUUCAGACAGACCAUAAGGAACAAACACAAUGAUGCUCCAAUCUGUCAUUCUGCUUUCUGCCUUUGCAUAUGCAACAUAUGGAAAUGAAAUUAAACCAACCAAAACAGAGGAGUUUGCUGUCGAGGGUUCAACUGUUAAAUUAUCCUGCAGUUAUUCAUCUGCAAAUAAUCUUCAAUGGUACCGUCAGUAUCCCGGAUCAGCUCCUGAAUUCCUUGUGCUCAUCUCAGAUGGUGCUAAAUCUCAGGAGUCUUAUGUAGAUUCCAGAUUCACUGCCAAAGUCACUAAAGUCAAAGAAAACUCUGUGGAUCUGAUCAUCUCCUCUGCUGCAGUGUCAGACUCUGCUCUGUAUUACUGUGCUCUGGUGCCCACAGUCACAGGAAACACAAGAACACUGUACAAAAACCUGACGCAGCUGAAUGCCUUCCCUUGUGAAAAAGAACUCCUGCUCUAA